UAACUCUCAGAGCAAUUCCGGCAGCCACAC
RNAcentral lists this small RNA (30 nucleotides) under Bombyx mori (domestic silkworm). Its description in RNAcentral is "ovarian small RNA-5712". Lineage: Eukaryota; Metazoa; Arthropoda; Insecta; Lepidoptera; Bombycidae. The record is from RNAcentral.